RNAcentral lists this ribosomal RNA (253 nucleotides) under uncultured bacterium. RNAcentral describes it as "partial 16S ribosomal RNA". It matches the Rfam family "Bacterial small subunit ribosomal RNA", at positions 524 to 776 of the family's 1533-position model. The record is from RNAcentral.
UACAAACCGUGCGAACGUUGUUCGGAAUCACUGGGCGUAAAGCGCACGCAGGCGGAUCGAUCAGUCGGGGGUGAAAGCCCGGGGCUCAACCUCGGAAUUGCCUUCGAUACUGUCGGUCUCGAGUCCGGGAGAGGCGAGUGGAAUUCCUAGUGUAGAGGUGAAAUUCGUAGAUAUUAGGAAGAACACCAGUGGCGAAGGCGGCUCACUGGCCCGGUACUGACGCUCAGGUGCGAAAGCGUGGGGAGCAAACAGG